AUAGCAUAACAUAGUGAAAAUCUCAAGAGUUAUUGCCAAAUAGAAAUAUUUCCUCUGCCAACUAUGUCUAUGGUUUACCCUGAUUUAUUGCAAUUAAAGAUUUUAUGCUAGCAAUAUUUUACCUGUAAAUUGUUUAAUUAUUUCCAUUUUCACAUAUUUAGUCCACAAUCCCAAUAUCCUAUUUUAAAAGGAUAAUCGGUAUUCAGCCCUUCUUUAAAUUAUCUUCUAGUGGCACAUUCUUAAGUUAUACUCCAAUAACCAGGGCAUAAUCUUGUGACAAUUUCAAAAAGAAGUCUGAAUUAUUUUGACUCAGUAUUUUUGAUUUUCCAUGACUUCCUUGGUUACACUACUGAUCUUUCCCAUAAGACUACUUUAAAAUAGUAAAAUAUUCCCUUUAAUUCAUAAAAAUAAUGAUAUCCAUCCCCUUCUCAAUAUACCUCCUUGAUGGCUUUCUCGACAACACAAUUGAUUGAAUGGGACCUAUCUUUUCAUUAGGUAUACUGUCUUUUAAUGUGUAACAAACCAAUUAUGUAUAACAAGUAUUGCCUAGUUGGCCCUUGCAACUAGAGAAAUUUUGUUUGUAAGUUCUUCAAAUUGAGUAAGGCAUCCAUAGAACAGUAUUUUUUUAAAUUUUGUACAUAUGUUCUAACAAGGAAUACAGAAAGUAAAAACUGAGACUAAAAUUAGAAUUUCCAAUUGAAUGACCUACAACAUUCAUUACUUCUAAAAGUUUUUAUCAUUUGAAAAGAAAUGUAUUGCAUAGCUUUCCUGGAAUUAGACAUGUUAAAGUCUAUGAUCUCUGUUGUUGUAUCAAAACAGUGGAUGUUUCAUUAUCUCUAGGCAUUGUAUGGUAAGAAAUGUAUUGAAUUUCUCACAAGUAUCCUCUUGCUUAGUAAAAAUGUUUUGCAUUGCUUUCCUGGAAUUAUGCAGUCUGAAGUGUUGAACUCUUUCAUUUCUGGUUGUAUUAAAACAUGGUGUUCUAUAAUCUGAAAGUGAUUUUUAAUUAGAACUACAUUAUAUCCGAUCUAUCAUGCAGCAGCAUAAGAAUGGGUUAUUCUCAAUGUCCCUUUUAAAAAUAAAGUAAUUAUAAGCUUUAGCUUAAAUCCUGUACAAUUCCCAGAUGGUUUUUAUGCCCCAUUUAUGGGCAUUAUGUUUUCUGGUCUGUGCAUCCGUUCAUUCGUCCAACUUCAAGUUAUAGUUUUUGGUCGAGGUAGUUUUCGAUGAAGUUGAAGUCUAAUUGUAACGAUGACAAUCCAUCCAGAGAUCCCUUAUCUACAGAAGUGAUCAUGUUUCCGAAGAGAUUUCUGCAAAAUAACUGAGUAAUAAGAAAUAUACCAAGGUGCAACAUUGUAUCUCAUAUGAACUGUAUAUUAAAUAGAUAGUGAAAUUUUUUUUUCUCUGUAGGGAGAAAUUUUAUUUAUGUUUUUAUUUUAAUUCAUUUAAAACUGCAUACUGAGAAAACAAUAUAAAUAUAAGAAAAAUCAGUACCUUAAACAUUGAUGUUUUUAUGCCCCAUUUAUGGGCAUUAUGUUUUCUGGUCUGUGCAUCCGUUAGUUCGUCCAACUUCAGGUUAUAGUUUUUGGUCAAGGUAGCUUUCAAUGAAGUUGAUGUCCAAUCAACUUGAAACUUAGUACACAUAUUCCUUAUGCUAUGAUCUUUCUAAUUUUAAUGCCAAAUUAGAGAUUUUUCUUAAUUUUCACGGUCUAUUGAACAUAGAAAAUGAUAGUGCGGAUGGGGCAUCUGUGUUCUACUAGGGACACAUUCUUGUUUAUUUACAUUUUUUGCAAUGAUUCAUUAUGAUCACUAAAAAUUGAAUUGCUUGAACACCUGGAAUAAGACAUUAUGACAUGUUAACUUUUUUUUUUGAUUCCUGUGGUUGUAUUAAAAUCUGUUGCAUAAUCUUGCUGUGUUGUUUGGUUGGAAGUUCAUUUUAUUCAAUCUAUCAUUGCACAGCAUUUCAAGGGGUUAUCUUUA
Molecule: long non-coding RNA, 1974 nt
Filed under: Mytilus galloprovincialis (Mediterranean mussel)
Lineage: Eukaryota; Metazoa; Mollusca; Bivalvia; Mytilida; Mytilidae
Source: RNAcentral